GUACUCUACGGGGAGGCAGCAGUGGGGGAAUAUUGCACAAUGGGCGCAAGCCUGAUGCAGCCAUGCCGCGUGUGUGAAGAAGGACCUUCGGGUUGUAAAGCACUUUCAGUCGUGAGGAAGGUAGUGUAGUUAAUAGCUGCAUUAUUUGACGUUAGCGACAGAAGAAGCACCGGCUAACUCCGUGCCAGCAGCCGCGGUAAUACGGAGGGUGCGAGCGUUAAUCGGAAUUACUGGGCGUAAAGCGCAUGCAGGUGGUUUGUUAAGUCAGAUGUGAAAGCCCGGGGCUCAACCUCGGAAUAGCAUUUGAAACUAGGCAGACUAGAGUACUGUAGAGGGGGGUAGGAAUUUCAGGUGUAGCGGUGAAAUGCGUAGAGAUCUGAAGGAAUACCGGUGGCGAAGGCGGCCCCCUGGACAGAUACUGACACUCAGAUGCGAAAGCGUGGGGAGCAAACAGGAUUAGAUACCCUGGUAG
Molecule: ribosomal RNA, 472 nt
Filed under: uncultured bacterium
Lineage: Bacteria
Description: bacterial SSU rRNA
Rfam family: Bacterial small subunit ribosomal RNA
Source: RNAcentral